This 407-nucleotide non-coding RNA is filed under the name Pan troglodytes (chimpanzee). RNAcentral describes it as "Archaeal large subunit ribosomal RNA". The stretch from base 172 to 407 matches the Rfam family "Eukaryotic large subunit ribosomal RNA", at positions 1 to 406 of the family's 3401-position model. The record is from Rfam by way of RNAcentral. Lineage: Eukaryota; Metazoa; Chordata; Mammalia; Primates; Hominidae.
GGUAGAUCACUUGAGGUCAGGAGUUCAAGACCAGCCUGGCCAACAUGGUGAAACCCUGUCUCUACUAAAAAUAUAAAAAUUAGCCAGGCAUGGUGGAGGGCACCUGUAAUCCCAGCUACUCAGGAGGCUGAGGCAGGAGAAUCACUUGAACCCAGGAUGCAGAGGUUGCAGUGAGCCAAAAAAAAAAAGAAUAAUAAUAGCUACAAUACUUUAUUAAGGUAUAUACAAUAUAAAAAGAUGCAAAUUGACUCGGGUCUUCCAGGAGUCGGGUUGCUUGGGAAUGCAGCCCAAAGCGGGUGGUAAACUCCAUUUAAGGCUAAAUACCGGCACGAGACCGAUAGUCAACAAGUACCGUAAGGGAAAGUUGAAAAGAACUUUGAAGAGAGCGUUCAAGAGGGCGUGAAACC